UUUUUACCGUGUUAAUUGUUAUCAGUGACCGGGCCCUGCUUAUACUAAGGUAUAAGGUCUAUGUUACACGCACAUGAAAAUAAUAAUACAAAAUGGCAAUAACACAUAAUAGCCCGAGUACUUCGCAAAAAAGGAAGAUCGCUGGACUCAUUAAAAAUUACAAAUAAAAUGCUCAAAAUCAUAAUGGACAACAGAGUGGCUGAACAUUUGAAUGUUAAUGGGAAAAGAGGCAUAAAGUUACUGUUUAUUAAAAUGGACUUAUACACUAUUGAAAUAGAAAUUGCCAAAAUAUGCGUUUAAACCAAGCUCUAGUUUAUCCAAACACACUAAAAGAGAAAUAAGGAAUGCAUUAGUGAAGAAAAAAAUUUUAAAUUUUUGUUCUACUAGCACUAGCCCAACAGAAGUAGAUACAACUGAAAAACGUAUAAAAUGUAAAAAAAAGAAAGGUUUUAAUGCACCUAGUCGUGAGGAAGUUCUUCCUAAUGGCUCCAAGAAAGAAAAACAAACAUUGAACACCCAUUUAUUGUUCAGGUAAAAAUAAAAAACCAACUAAAAAAGUAUUAUUCCAAAGUUAUGAUUCAAAUUACAGUGAUGACAAGUUAGGUUCCAUAUUUAACACAAGAUUGAAAAGAAUUGUAAAUGCAGUACCAGAACCAACAGAUGAUCCUGUAAGCAACAUUAACACUGAAAUAUUGAUAAAUAUUGGUCAUAUCUUAAAAAGUGGUAUUUAUCAAAGUUUAAAUUAACUACCUAUCAAAUGCUUAAGAGCUUAAUAGACAACAGAGUGGCUGAACAUUUGAAUGUUGAUGGGAAAAGAGGCAUCAAGUAUCAACUGUACCUAUAAUACUGAUUCAAGUUAACGUAAUUAAAUAUUUAGGUUUAACCAUUGAUAAUAAAUUAAAAUGGAAUCAGUAAUCACCAUAUUGUUAAAUUAACAAAUUCGAUAAAAAAUUCUUCUAUAUUUUUCCUGAGGUUAGAUUUAUUUUUAAUAUACAAAUAAAACGAAUAAUAUUUUUAUAAUUGGUACAAUCUGUUGUCAGCUAUGGUAUAAGUAUAUCUGGGGACAAGCUUUUGACUCUCAUAUUUAUCGUCUUAAAAUUACCUUAAAUAGAUUAAUUAAA
Molecule: long non-coding RNA, 1121 nt
Organism: Rhopalosiphum padi (bird cherry-oat aphid)
Lineage: Eukaryota; Metazoa; Arthropoda; Insecta; Hemiptera; Aphididae
Exons: 5
Source: RefSeq, a predicted model, not a curated record